GGCUGCGUAGCUCAGUUGGCUAGAGCAAUCGGUUCAUACCCGAUCGGUCGCUGGUUCAAGUCCUGCCGCAGCCA
This 74-nucleotide transfer RNA is filed under the name Ruminococcus sp. Its description in RNAcentral is "tRNA-Met". It matches the Rfam family "tRNA". From Rfam's summary of the family: Transfer RNA (tRNA) molecules are approximately 80 nucleotides in length. Their secondary structure includes four short double-helical elements and three loops (D, anti-codon, and T loops). Further hydrogen bonds mediate the characteristic L-shaped molecular structure. tRNAs have two regions of fundamental functional importance: the anti-codon, which is responsible for specific mRNA codon recognition, and the 3' end, to which the tRNAs corresponding amino acid is attached (by aminoacyl-tRNA synthetases). tRNAs cope with the degeneracy of the genetic code in two manners: having more than one tRNA (with a specific anti-codon) for a particular amino acid; and 'wobble' base-pairing, i.e. permitting non-standard base-pairing at the 3rd anti-codon position. The record is from RNAcentral. RNAcentral also lists the same sequence under 1 other name. Lineage: Bacteria; Bacillati; Bacillota; Clostridia; Eubacteriales; Oscillospiraceae.